This 432-nucleotide unclassified non-coding RNA is filed under the name Hevea brasiliensis (rubber tree). The record is from RNAcentral. Lineage: Eukaryota; Viridiplantae; Streptophyta; Magnoliopsida; Malpighiales; Euphorbiaceae.
UGAAAAUUAGCCUCUGGAUACCGACUCGCUGAGAGAAAAAAAAAAAAAAGUCCACCUCAUCAAUCUCCGUCUACCUGAUAACAGCCACCGUGCUUCCUCCUUUUCUGUCAGUUCGCAACGGCUUUCCAUGACCGUACUCUUAUUUUUUCUGUCUAAAACCUCUUCUAGGGUUUACUCACUGUGAACACUAAUUAAGCAUAAAUAAAAAAAAAAUUUCUGAAAAAGUAAAAUCCUUCAUUAACAACCACUAAUUAUCCAAACAAGGGACAUGGAAUUGGACGAUGACCAUGCUACGAUAAGCCUCUAAACGAGGAGGAAGAAGAAGACGAUGACGAGAUUACGCAGGAGGACGCAUGGGCCGUUAUCUCUGCCUAUUUCGAAGAGAAAGGUCUAGGGCGUCAACAGCUCGAUUCAUUCGAUGAGUUUAUUCAG